Molecule: ribosomal RNA, 892 nt
Filed under: uncultured archaeon
Lineage: Archaea
Description: bacterial SSU rRNA
Rfam family: Archaeal small subunit ribosomal RNA
Source: RNAcentral
GCUCAGUAACACGUGGACAACGUACCCUAAAGUGGAGCAUAAUCUCGGGAAACUGAGGAUAAUUCUCCAUAGACCAUGAGAUCUGGAAUGACUUAUGGUUCAAAGUUCCGGCGCUUUAGGAUCGGUCUGCGGCCUAUCAGGUAGUAGUGGGUGUAACGUACCCCCUAGCCGUUGACGGGUAUGGGCCUUGAGAGAGGGAGCCCAGAGUUGGAUUCUGAGACACGAAUCCAGGCCCUACGGGGCGCAGCAGUCGCGAAAACUUCACAAUGGGCGAAAGCCCGAUGAGGGAAUUCCUAGUGCUAGCACUUUUGUGCUAGCUUUUCUUCAGCGUAGAUAACUGGAGGAAUAAGGGCUGGGUAAGACGGGUGCCAGCCGCCGCGGUAAUACCCGCAGCCCGAGUGGUGGUCGAUUUUAUUGAGUCUAAAACGUUCGUAGCCGGUCUAAUAAAUCCUUGGGUAAAUCGGAAGGCUUAACUUUCCGAAUUCCGAGGAGACUGUUAGGCUUGGGAUCGGGAGAGGUAAGAGGUACUUCAGGGGUAGGGGUAAAAUCCUGUAAUCCUUGGAGGACCACCGGUGGCGAAGGCGUCUUACUAGAACGAAUCCGACGGUGAGGGACGAAGCCCUAGGUCGCAAACGGGAUUAGAUACCCCGGUAGUCUAGGGUGUAAACGCUGCAGACUUGGUGUUGGGGGCCCUUCGGGGGCAUUCAGUGCCGGAGAGAAGUUGUUAAGUCUGCUACUUGGGGAGUACGUCCGCAAGGAUGAAACUUAAAGGAAUUGGCGGGGGAGCACCGCAACGGGAGGAGCGUGCGGUUUAAUUGGAUUCAACACCGGAAAACUCACCAAGGGAGACCAUCACAUGAAAGCCAGGCUAAUGACUUUGCUUGAUUCUUGG